RNAcentral lists this ribosomal RNA (634 nucleotides) under Dokdonella sp. So1Ps_760. RNAcentral's name for it is "bacterial SSU rRNA". It matches the Rfam family "Bacterial small subunit ribosomal RNA", at positions 381 to 1006 of the family's 1533-position model. The record is from RNAcentral. Lineage: Bacteria; Pseudomonadati; Pseudomonadota; Gammaproteobacteria; Lysobacterales; Rhodanobacteraceae.
GCCUGAUCCAGCCAUGCCGCGUGGGUGAAGAAGGCCUUCGGGUUGUAAAGCCCUUUUGUUGGGGAAGAAAUCGUACGGGCGAAUAUCCCGUGCGGAUGACGGUACCCAAAGAAUAAGCACCGGCUAACUUCGUGCCAGCAGCCGCGGUAAUACGAAGGGUGCAAGCGUUACUCGGAAUUACUGGGCGUAAAGCGUGCGUAGGCGGUUUGUUAAGUCCGCUGUGAAAGCCCUGGGCUCAACCUGGGAAUUGCAGUGGAUACUGGCAAGCUAGAGUGCGGUAGAGGAUGGUGGAAUUCCCGGUGUAGCGGUGAAAUGCGUAGAGAUCGGGAGGAACACCCGUGGCGAAGGCGGCCAUCUGGACCAGCACUGACGCUGAGGCACGAAAGCGUGGGGAGCAAACAGGAUUAGAUACCCUGGUAGUCCACGCCCUAAACGAUGCGAACUGGACGUUGGGUGGACUUAGCCACUCAGUGUCGAAGCUAACGCGUUAAGUUCGCCGCCUGGGGAGUACGGUCGCAAGACUGAAACUCAAAGGAAUUGACGGGGGCCCGCACAAGCGGUGGAGUAUGUGGUUUAAUUCGAUGCAACGCGAAGAACCUUACCUGGUCUUGACAUGUCCGGAACCCUGCAGAGA